CAGGCCUAACACAUGCAAGUCGAGCGAGACCUUCGGGUCUAGCGGCGGACGGGUUAGUAACGCGUGGGAACGUACCCUUUUCUAAGGAAUAGCCACUGGAAACGGUGAGUAAUGCCUUAUACGCCCUUCGGGGGAAAGAUUUAUCGGAGAAGGAUCGGCCCGCGUUAGAUUAGAUAGUUGGUGGGGUAAUGGCCUACCAAGUCUACGAUCUAUAGCUGGUUUGAGAGGAUGAUCAGCAACACUGGGACUGAGACACGGCCC
RNAcentral lists this ribosomal RNA (261 nucleotides) under Mesodinium pulex. RNAcentral describes it as "partial Bacterial small subunit ribosomal RNA". It matches the Rfam family "Bacterial small subunit ribosomal RNA", at positions 43 to 332 of the family's 1533-position model. The record is from RNAcentral. Lineage: Eukaryota; Ciliophora; Litostomatea; Cyclotrichida; Mesodiniidae.